UUGGGAAUCUUGCACAAUGGGGGCAACCCUGAUGCAGCGACGCCGCGUGGAGGAUGACGGGUCUAGGCCUGUAAACUCCUUUUCCCCGGAAAGACUUAGGACGGUACCGGGGGAAUAAGCACCGGCUAACUACGUGCCAGCAGCCGCGGUAAGACGUAGGGUGCAAGCGUUGUCCGGAUUUACUGGGCGUAAAGAGCGCGUAGGCGGCUCGUUAAGUGUGAAGUGAAAUCCCUGGGCUCAACUCAGGAACUGCUUUACAUACUGGCGAGCUUGAGGGAUGCAGAGGUUUGUGGAAUUCCUGGUGUAACGGUGAAAUGUGUUGAUAUCAGGAGGAACACCCAUGGCGAAGGCAGCAAACUGGGCAUUUCCUGACGCUGAGGCGCGAAAGCGUGGGUAGCAAACAGGAUUAGAUACCCCCGUAGUCC
Molecule: ribosomal RNA, 425 nt
Filed under: uncultured bacterium
Lineage: Bacteria
Description: bacterial SSU rRNA
Rfam family: Bacterial small subunit ribosomal RNA
Source: RNAcentral